Molecule: long non-coding RNA, 1662 nt
Filed under: Nicotiana tabacum (common tobacco)
Lineage: Eukaryota; Viridiplantae; Streptophyta; Magnoliopsida; Solanales; Solanaceae
Description: long non-coding RNA (NTAB_LNC005970)
Source: RNAcentral
CGCCCCUGACUGUUUCUGGAAUGGCUUUUUUCAUGAUCAUCAUACACAUGCGAUUUGAUCUCUCCCACCUUUCCAUCUCCCUCUUUUAAUUAGAGGAACUCGUAUCUGUAAUAGGUGGUGUAGAAUCAAUUAUUAACGCAAGGUGGAGAUCCAUGACUCCGAGAACUAUAUUGAGGUUCUCUUGCCAUGACUUGAAGUUAGUACAAUUUAACAUAUGAAUUGAAUUGAUGUUGGCAGUAAUAUUUGCAAGAGUAAUUUCAGCUGAAUCAGAGAACAAUAAAUAACAAAAUAAGCUCACAUAUACUUAAAAUCAAAAUCAAAAUAAAUUUGAAUAAAGGUAAACUUCAUCUCAAGGUACCGGUCAUUCCAUUAAUAUUUCAUCUUUGGACAAAAUAUUAACUUGUAAGUAGUAUCUUGGUGUACUAAUCAAACAUUGAUAUUAAAGAACAUGUCGAAUAUUAAAUCUUCCUUUGGGCCAAUUUAUUAUUCACACGAACCAAAUAACUAUCACGUAUUUACUACCACAAGAUGCACAUGUAAUUCUGAUAAAUAUUGACCUUCUUUGGGUUGAUCAAUAUUCACAUAAAUUACACACACAACCUUUUAUAUUUCAAAAUAAAUAAAUUUUCACAAGAGAAAUCACUUUAGUGACAUCAAGUUUCAAAUUUAUUUAUCUCAAGAUAUAUAUAACCAUACCAAUAUUCAAAUUUAAAUUCAUCAAAAACAAAAACAUAUAAGUCUCGAAAAUAAACUAAAUUAUGGUGGGCCAAAAAAAAACUGAAUUAAAGAUGCUGCCAGUAUUUUAUUCUUAAGAAGAGAUUGAAACCAUAACCUUGAAUAGAAAUAAUUCUACUCAACUGACAUUUAACGUAUAACAUAGUGCAGUGACAAAGUUUCAUAUUGUCAACCAAACAUUAGUAACUGGAACACCAAAUUAAGAUUUAAAAAAAAAACUAUGCUAUGGCCAAAUAUCUCCGUUAGAACAGUGAACAAUAUCGAGUGAAUUGCAAAGAUUCAUGUUACAAUCAUAUAAUCCAAAGUAAAUCCCUUUCUGUCAGCAUCCAGAGAAGAAAAAAUAUUAAUAAAACCUAAAUUCUUUGCCUCAACAUUCUUUAAUUACUUAAACCUAAAUUAAACAAAAGAAAAUAAUAAUAAAACAACCAAAGUAAAUUAAUCAAAUAGCAGUAAAAUUAUCUUUUCUGACAGCAAAGAAAGGAGGACAAAAGCCUCCAUUCCUUGAAGUGUUUACAGUCACAAAUUCGGCAGCUUCAAAUCCUGAUGGUAGCCUUUAGAUUCAUGGCUCACGGUAAUUUAACAAUGAGCCUUACCUUAAUCAAUAACGGCACAUAAAUUAGUAAAUGACUAAACUAAGGUUUUUCUAACCAAACGAAAGCUUUUUCAUAAACGUUUUUACUAAAGAGAUUUCCCAAUGAAUCAACACGACGAAGGAUGUGAUACCAAUUGUCAUAACCAAAAUGCUUCGGAGAUAAAUCCUUCGUCUUUUAACCAAGUACUAUCAUAUUAAAUCAUCAAGAAUUAAUACUAGGUAGAUACAGAAGCAUACCUAAAUCCAUGUGAACCGGUGAAACUUGUCGUCUUUGCGGGUUAUUGAUCUUCUAAACCAAGACAUAAGCCGUAAUCGUGUUUCUAACGAUGGGAUGC